CUAGCUAGCUGCCUGAGCUGCACCGGCAUGCGUGGUGCAGCCUGUAGCCUUCUAAUUUGCAACCAUGCAAUUGGAGAUGACUUCUGAAUUUUGAAUUUGUUUUGUUUCAGGAGAUUGAGAAGUCAGACAUCUGGAUUUUGGUGUAGAACACAUGUUAUGCUCUGGGCAUAUGAAGUUCCAAGGGCAAGAAACAGUAUAACUGGAGGCAAGAGAAGAACUUUCUGUCAUAUACCAUCAGGAUAGCAAAGCUGAUACAAUUUUUUAAAGCAAUGAUUGUUCAGUGUGAUCCUUAAGUCCUUCACACUCAUUCUUACCGGCCAUGCACUAGAAAUGAUCAUGUCAUCUUAUGUAUCACUUCAUAUGUAUGUAUGUCUCUCGUGGAUGCGCCAGAUUGACAAAUAUGUGUGCCCGGGAAGGGUCUAGUUUGACGUGUACUCGAAUAUUUGUGCAACUGAUGGUCUAGCUUGACAUGUACUUAAAUAAUUCCAAUAUUUGUGCCUGGAAUUGUCCAGUCUAA
Aegilops tauschii subsp. strangulata is the source of this 517-nucleotide non-coding RNA. NCBI's taxonomy places the organism in Eukaryota, Viridiplantae, Streptophyta, Magnoliopsida, Poales, Poaceae. The record is from RefSeq and is a predicted model, not a curated record.